Molecule: ribosomal RNA, 216 nt
Filed under: Glomeromycotina sp.
Lineage: Eukaryota; Fungi; Glomeromycota
Description: partial small subunit ribosomal RNA
Rfam family: Eukaryotic small subunit ribosomal RNA (bases 40-216)
Source: RNAcentral
GGGUCAGUAGGUUGGUCGUGCCAACGGUACGUACUGGUCUCACUGAUUCCUCCUUCCUGAAGAACCGUAAUGCCAUUAAUUUGGUGUUGCGGGGAAACAGGACUGUUACUUUGAAAAAAUUAGAGUGUUUAAAGCAAGCUAACGCUUGAAUACAUUAGCAUGGAAUAAUGAAAUAGGACGAUCGAUCCUAUUUUGUUGGUUUCCAGGAUUGACGUA